This 264-nucleotide ribosomal RNA is filed under the name uncultured bacterium. RNAcentral's name for it is "partial 16S ribosomal RNA". It matches the Rfam family "Bacterial small subunit ribosomal RNA", at positions 793 to 1055 of the family's 1533-position model. The record is from RNAcentral.
GUCCACGCCCUAAACGAUGCUCACUAGGUGUUGGGGAAGCGAUUCCUUGGUACCGUAGCUAACGCGUGAAGUGAGCCGCCUGGGGAGUACGGCCGCAAGGUUAAAACUCAACGGAAUUGACGGGGACCCGCACAAGCGGUGGAUGAUGUGGAUUAAUUCGAUGCAACGCGAACAACCUUACCUACCCUUGACAUGUCUGGAAGGCUGCUGAAAGGUGGCUGUGCUCGAAAGAGAACCGGAACACAGGUGCUGCAUGGCUGUCGU